UCGCCUGCAUGAAGUCGGAAUUGCUAGUAAUCGCGGAUCAGCAUGCCGCGGUGAAUACGUUCCCGGGCCUUGUACACACCGCCCGUCACACCAUGGGAGUCGGUAACACCCGAAGCCGAUAGUCUAAACGAAAGAGGACGUCGUCGAAGGUGGGAUUGAUGACUGGGGUGAAGUCGUAACAAGGUAGC
This 188-nucleotide ribosomal RNA is filed under the name uncultured bacterium. RNAcentral's name for it is "partial 16S ribosomal RNA". It matches the Rfam family "Bacterial small subunit ribosomal RNA", at positions 1312 to 1500 of the family's 1533-position model. The record is from RNAcentral.